This 71-nucleotide transfer RNA is filed under the name Marmota monax (woodchuck). RNAcentral's name for it is "tRNA.Ala". Lineage: Eukaryota; Metazoa; Chordata; Mammalia; Rodentia; Sciuridae. The record is from RNAcentral.
GAGGUAGUGGCUCAGUGGUGGAGCGCUUGCCUAGCAUGUGUGAGGGACUGGGUUUGAUACUCAGCACCACA